Molecule: long non-coding RNA, 609 nt
Filed under: Panicum hallii
Lineage: Eukaryota; Viridiplantae; Streptophyta; Magnoliopsida; Poales; Poaceae
Description: long non-coding RNA (PHAL_LNC000830)
Source: RNAcentral
GCUAGCAUGGCCGGCCCGCCUGCCGGAUGCGCCGCUGCAGCCGGCGUCGCUCGCCCUCCACCCUCCCGCACGGCAGGCGGCCUCCUCUCCCCAACCACCCACUGCCUCAUCUCUUCCAUCUCCGGCUGCUGAAAUUGAUCCUACAAAUUGAUAUGUUCAUGAGUUGAUUUGGCCUUCCAAUUGCACUCCUCACUGAUACGAAGAGCAAUCGAAUUGAUUAGUCAAAUCAAUCACACAUGGGUAAGGAGGCGGUGGAUGAGUAUGGGAUAGACCUUCACGGCCGCGACAAGGAUGAGUGGAUGAUGGAGGAGGAGACGGGCCUCUUGGGCGCCGGCGAGCUGACCCCUCUGUCCCAUGCGCCGGUCUCCGUGGAGCUCGAUGGACCGCGCCCGCACGCUGCCGUGCGGCUCUCCGCGCCGCACGCUGCUGCCGGCCAAGCUUCUGCAGGUCGGGAGGAGAAAGAUUGGGGACGAUUUUUGCGGUCGGUAACCUCACCUUUAGCCAAGAUAUGGUUACUGUAUCAGAUGUACAAAUAACCAAAUACAAUCUUGAACCUUACUGAGCAUCAGAUGAACCUUACUGUAUUUUACCUAGCAAUAAUGAAUGGAG